Molecule: non-coding RNA, 214 nt
Organism: Nicotiana tabacum (common tobacco)
Lineage: Eukaryota; Viridiplantae; Streptophyta; Magnoliopsida; Solanales; Solanaceae
Source: RefSeq, a predicted model, not a curated record
AAGGACCUUAUCAUCACCGUUUCAGCUAGCUUCAUACUUCCAUAUGGCGAAGAGGCAAACAAGUGUAUGGUCAAUAUGAGGCUAGUGCAGAAACGCAUCUAAAUAUGUACGUACGUGUUUUGCGCAUGGUCAUUCCAGGAAUGUAAAUUGUGUUUUCUAAUGUAUUUCCUGACAAAAUUAUAUUUGUGCUGAAAAUAUAAUUCUGUUACGUUUA